This 194-nucleotide ribosomal RNA is filed under the name uncultured bacterium. Its description in RNAcentral is "partial 16S ribosomal RNA". It matches the Rfam family "Bacterial small subunit ribosomal RNA", at positions 1307 to 1500 of the family's 1533-position model. The record is from RNAcentral.
GCAACUCGACUGCAUGAAGCUGGAAUCGCUAGUAAUCGCGAAUCAGAAUGUCGCGGUGAAUACGUUCCCGGGUCUUGUACACACCGCCCGUCACACCAUGGGAGUUGGAAGCGCCCGAAGUCUGUGACCUAACCGUGAGGGAGGAGCAGCCGAAGGUGAAGCCAGUGACUGGGGUGAAGUCGUAACAAGGUAAC